UACAACCAAUAUUACUAAUAGACCCAAACACACAACUUCUAGCUGAUUACAUGGAGAAAGUCCAGAAGGACAUUACUCCUAAUAUGAGGGCAAUGCUUGUUGAUUAUUUGGUGGAUGUUGCAGAGGAGUUCAAAAUGCAAUCUGAAACUUUGUUCCUCACUGUUUCCUGCGUUGAUAGAUUUCUAUCAAAAAAUACUCUGCAUCGCACAGAACUUCAGUUACUGGGACUUUCAUCCAUGUUCAUAGCCUGGAAGUAUGAAGAGACUCGUGAUGAAGAGUGUCCUGCUCGAAGUGUUCAAGAUUUUUGUGAGGUUUCGGCUAAAUCUCUCUCUCGGGAACGGGUGUUGGAAAUGGAAAUUAAUGUACUCCACUCUAUAAACCAUGAACUGAGCAUUCCGACCGCAGUGACAUUUUUAUGGUAAGUUUGUUAAAACUUGAUAAUUAAUAUAAAACAAAGUUGUUUAGUAUUUGUGUUUUGUCUGCAGGAGAUUUUUGACCGAUACUAAGGAGAAGAAGAGUCUGAAAGUUAAAUUUCUGUGCUUCUAUCUCGCGGAACUAAGUUUGUUGGAAUAUGACUGUUUGAAAUUCCUUCCUUCUAUGCUGGCAGCAUCUAUCAUAUUUUUUGCGAAAUGGAUAAUCACAUCAGAAAUUCAUCCUUGGACGCUUUCUCUGCAGAAUGUUACUAAAUACUCACCACCUGAGUUGAAGCAAUGCGUUUUUACUAUACACAAGUUGUCUAGGAGUGAAAUAGUGUCAACUUUCAAAGCUUCAAAAAAAAAAUACAAUAAAUAUAAGUUCAAUUUUGUGUCAGAGUUUGCCGCUCCUCCAGUGAUACCAGCUCAUUUUUUGGGAGUAUUAUACAAUGAUAGAGAGAAGGUGAUUUUUGGUCAAUAGAAGUUGAUUUUGUUUGAUCUUGACUGAUUGGAGUAGGCUGACAAUACUGAUUCUUUUUGCUCUGAAAUGAUUGUGAACUUUUGUAGCGGGAUUGCUUAAAUAGUAUAGUUCUUAGUGAUUUUGAGGUGGAGUUUUUUGUAGUGCGAUGGCCUAAAUGGUAUAGUUAUUAGCGAUUCUUUUGAAGUGAGUUGUUUUCUCACGUUGACAAACAACAUUGGGGAUGACAUUAGUUCAUUUCAGUUGGAAUGAUGCAUACGUAUAUUUUGGGACGUGAAAAUCUUAAUGAAGUAGUUAGCCCGUUUAUAUCGUCUCGCAGCUGUUUAGUUUUUUUUCUUGCUUUUUUUCAAGGCAACUGGUGUGAGGUUCAUAUGCUUUUUCUUUUCAUUUAAUUGGUAGGUAUAUUAGAAUUUUUCCUAUUUAGAGCAAGAUAUCUAAUUUUCCACAAUAGCAAUUCACAGCUUCAAUUCAAGUAAAUGCUGGCUGGCAGAAGGCCAAGAAAAUAAUAGGUUUACGAGAGAAAUAAUAAGACCAAAGAUUCUAUAUGGUCCUUGAGAAUUGGCAGCACAGAACAAUUUAUUGAGACAGAUCUUUUCUAAUUAUGAUAGAUAUUACCUUAUUUUGUUUAACACUCAUUGUGAAAUUUUAAAGAUUUUUAUAAAGCUGAAUAUUCCAACAAAUUCUCUCUUGUGGCUUCCAUUCCAUCUAUUGAAGAU
Long non-coding RNA from Humulus lupulus (European hop), 1607 nucleotides. RefSeq lists it as uncharacterized. The transcript is spliced from 5 exons. The record is from RefSeq and is a predicted model, not a curated record. Lineage: Eukaryota; Viridiplantae; Streptophyta; Magnoliopsida; Rosales; Cannabaceae.